AACCUGCCCGAAGACUGGGAUAACACCGGGGAACCGGUGCUAAUGCCGGAUAUCCCACCAGGCCGCAUGACCAGGUGAGGAAAUGGAUUCCGCUUCGGGAGGGGCUCGCGGGCUAUCAGCUUGUUGGUGGGGUAACGGCCUACCAAGGCGACGACGGCUAGCUGGUCUGAGAGGACGACCAGCCACACUGGGACUGAGACACGGCCCAG
This 209-nucleotide ribosomal RNA is filed under the name uncultured bacterium. Its description in RNAcentral is "partial 16S ribosomal RNA". It matches the Rfam family "Bacterial small subunit ribosomal RNA", at positions 123 to 334 of the family's 1533-position model. The record is from RNAcentral.